This 1238-nucleotide long non-coding RNA is filed under the name Camarhynchus parvulus. RNAcentral describes it as "lncRNA (ENSCPVG00000016919.1)". Lineage: Eukaryota; Metazoa; Chordata; Aves; Passeriformes; Thraupidae. The record is from RNAcentral.
CCCUCGCUACAACCUAAGGGGGCCCCCCAAAAUCCAAAAUCCUAAAAUCUACAAAACCCCCCCCAAAAAUUUGGGGGAACACCAAAAAAUCGGGAGGGACCCCCAAAGAAAACAGGAGGGGCCCCAAAAAUCAGAGGGACCCCAAAAAAUACAGGGCGACCCCCAAAAAUCCCCCAAAUUUUCCACCGAGGCCUUGGGACCCCCAAAUUUAUCCUGAGGGAUCAAAUUUGGGUGGAACCCCAAAAAAUUAGAAUUUUUUUUUUUUUUUUUGCCCAAAAUCCCAAAAUUUUGGUCGUUUUGGGGUUUUUUUUGAGCUGGAUUUUAAAUGGGGACGCCAAAAUUUGUCACCAGGGGUGACAAACUUUGGGAUCAUUUCCCAUCACUUUGGGAUAAUUUCCCAUCAUUUUGGGGUCAUUUCACGCAAUUUUGGGGUCGUUCCUCAUUUUGGGGUCACUCCCCAUCACUCCGGGGUGGUCCCCCACCGUUUUGGGGUCAUUUCUCAUCAUUUUGGGGUCGUUCCUGACCGCUUUGGCCUCCUUGCCACCACCCCAGUGGUCACUCCCUCAAUGUCCAGCAGGGUCCAGUGGUCACUCCCCACCACUUUGGGGUCAUUUCCCACCACUUUGGGGUCAUUUCCCACCACUUUGGGGUCAUUUCCCACCAUUUUGGGGUCGUUCUGACCACUUUGGGGGUCACUCUGUGGUCACUCUGGCCACCACCCCAGUGGUCACUCUCUCGAUGUCCAGCAGGGUGUCCAGCGGUCACUCCCCACCACUCUGGGGUCACUUUGGGGUCAUUUCCCACCAUUUUGGGGUCGUUCUGACCACUUUGGGGGUCACUCUGUGGUCACUCUGGCCACCACCCCAGUGGUCACUCCCUCGAUGUCCAGCAGGGUCCAGCGGUCACUCCCCACCACUUUGGGGUCAUUUCUGACCACUUUGGGCUCGCUGCCAUCACUCUGGGGGUCACUCCCUCGAUGUCCAGCAGGGUCCAGGUGUCCAGCAGUCACUGCCCGCCACUUUGGGGUCACUUUGUGCCACUUUGGGGUCACUUUGUGCCACUCUGGGGUCACUUUGUGGUCACUCUGGUGGUCACUCCGUGGUCACUCUGGUGGUCACUUUGUGGUCACCCUGGUGGUCACUCCGUGGUCACCUCGCCCUCCACACCCCCCCCCCUCACUCCCCUCCCUCCACCCCCGCCCCUCCCCCACCCCUGGGAGAGAACCCAGCGCCCCUCCC